UACGUAGGUGGCAAGCGUUGUCCGGAUUUACUGGGCGUAAAGGGUGCGUAGGUGGAUAUUUAAGUCAGAUGUGAAACCCCCAGGCUCAACUUGGGAACUGCAUUUGAAACUGGAUAUCUGGAGUGCAGGAGAGGUAAGUGGAAUUCCUAGUGUAGCGGUGAAAUGCGUAGAGAUUAGGAAGAACACCAGUGGCGAAGGCGACUUACUGGACUGUAACUGACACUGAGGCACGAAAGCGUGGGUAGCAAAC
This 250-nucleotide ribosomal RNA is filed under the name uncultured bacterium. RNAcentral describes it as "partial 16S ribosomal RNA". It matches the Rfam family "Bacterial small subunit ribosomal RNA", at positions 524 to 773 of the family's 1533-position model. The record is from RNAcentral.